Long non-coding RNA from Lemur catta (Ring-tailed lemur), 3321 nucleotides. RefSeq lists it as uncharacterized. NCBI's taxonomy places the organism in Eukaryota, Metazoa, Chordata, Mammalia, Primates, Lemuridae. The record is from RefSeq and is a predicted model, not a curated record. The transcript has 3 exons.
GCCGCCAUGUGGCACCGCUAGGAACGGCCGGAAGCAGGACGCUGCGGCGACGGGGAACCGCUACCCUACAAAGUCCAGAGCUGGAGCAGCCUCUCCUCUCUCCUGCCUUGAUGUCUCGCCCCCAACAGUGAGUUUGCUCCUGGGCUCUGAUGAUGCCACUUCCACCCCCUGCCCCACCAGCUGCAGGGCUGCUCCAUCUGCAGUCAAGAAUUUUGCAUUUAAUCUUACCCUACCCUUUCGCUCUUCUAACCUUGCACACCCGUGUAACCAUUUCUCCUAGCAAAUGGGGUCUGUUUAAAAUACUUAUUAUUUCCGUUUUCCUGCUCAGAAGCUGGGCUGAUAAAGAUGCGGGUGUCUACUGCCUUGCAGUAUGUACAAAGCCCCUGGAAUCCAGCAGAGGGUUGUUGCAGUUUUUACAAAGAAGGGGAUAUCAUUCUGAAUUCUGUCUCCCUAAACUAAUGAAUUUUAAAGCACCAGACCACAUCAGCACACCUGUAGGGUACUGUACCUACCCAUCAGUAACAUCUGUUCAUCCUGGCAACAUAAGGGCCACGAGGGAGUGUGUGUGGUAGCAAGAGAAGGAAAAACAUAUGGAAAGUCCUCCCAUAUAUUUCAUACUCUUUGAAGAAGCAAUUUCACUUCUAGGCACUUUUUAUAAGGAAGUAAUUGAGAGAUCAACAUCAUAAACUGCUUCUCAAGAGGAACGACUCCAAACCUAUGCAGAUGCUCUUCAAAUUACGAUACGUUACAUCCUGAGAACCCAUUGGUUUUUAUCUAUUACCAUCGUUAUUUGUCGGUUUGGUUUCUGACCUCACUUCCUGGUGCCAUGUCUGCUAGUUCACGCUGUCUCCAGUGUAUCCGCAGCUCUUCGGGCUGUUGGGGAGCGACAUGCACCCACUUCAUGCUGAGGACGCGAAGCUCUGCUGGGGCCACUUGAGAAGGACGUGUGUGGUCAGGUCCUCUUGGAGUUCUCCACCCUCCACUACUGUGCACCGGCUUCUCAGGGAACCUCAAGACCUCGCCUUGAUUAUUUACCUGGUUAGAUUGUCUCACCUGGCCAGGGAAGCCCCUUCAAACUCGUUCUUGUGUUCUUUUGAUAUGUCACCAGUUGCCCAACAAGACAGCGUUCCUGCCCCAGCCCUGGCAUCAGCCAUUUCUCCAAAGACUCUUUGGCUCCAUUUAGUGGAGAACAAUUUCUAGAAAAUUUCUGGGCGCUAGGUGUGCUCAUUGCUAAAGGGGUUUCUUUACUUCUCAGACCUCUCGGGGGAUCAAGCCAUGAAUAUAUGUGUACGGAUAGGAUAUGGAUAUUCAGCUACACAUACAACCACACGCGCAUUUGCUUCUGCUUCUAGCAUGUCUAUGUCAUAUCCAAACAUACAUGUUAAACUGUCCAUUUAUUUAAAACAAUGAGUUUACACAGAUAUCUCCAUUUCCAAUCCAACACCACGGGAUUUAUUCCAGCAUGUCCUCUUUCCAUAUUGUACUCCUUUUCCCAUUAUUUUCAAUUUUCUCUGUGUGUAACCAAAUUCCCGGGCCUUCCCAUGUGAAAUUCAGCCUGAUGAAGGAUAAGGGGGAAGCAAAAAAGGAGGACAAUGGAGCAAAGGAGAAAAGUCCAGUAAGAAAGCCUGGCUUUGGCCACACUACGAUCCCCACUGCCUGGGAUGCGGAAAGAAAUCUCCCACGAGAAAGGAGAAGAGAAGAAAGAAUCCGUCCAGUUAUUGUUGAUGUGAAUUUUUAUCACUUGGUUAAGGUGUGUCCGCCAGAUUUCUUUAAUUGUAAAAGAUACGCUUUUUUCUGGAUAAUUUAUAUAAUAAAUGUGUGGUUGAUUCUUUGAAGGUGAAUAUCCUGUUCCCCAACAAUAUUUUCACUACCCAGUGGUUUGAGCGUCCACUGAUAGUCCUGUCCUGAACACGGCUGUGCUCGUGGUUGGAAGACGGAGAUUUACUGAUUCUAUCAGCCCUUCUACGUUCGUUGUCUGACAUCCUUUUCUGAAGAGUUGUUUCUCUUUCUCCCUUUUUUUCCUUUUUUUUUUUUUUUUUUAGUAUCCUUAUAAACUCAUGGAUCGUUUUUACACCUUGGGUGCGCAAGGAGGGAUCACACACAAAGCCCCACUGGCCACCGGUCCACAGUGGAGCAAGGGAGAGAGGCCAACAAAUAAUUGCAGGAACGAGACACAUUGUAGAACAGAGCAGAGAGGGUGUUAAGAAAAAAACCAAAGUAUCUGUAAACAUUAACUAGAAAGAACAUCAAUUUCCAAAGUUAUUUCCCACCAAAUCUUCUAGGUGGAGAAAACAGCACUUUAUUCGAAGGCUGUAAUGCCCCUGUGUACCGAUAUUGUCAAUAAAGGAGAGAUCUUAGGGGAAUCUUUAAUUUGGCCGUAACAACUGUGACUCUAUUUCUGCCCCGAGUAACACAUUUUGUAGCUUUAUUUGCACUCCAUGAUGUCUUUUAAAAAGAAUGUGUAGGUCGAGACGAGUGUUGUGGCUGUCUGCGAGGGAUGGCUAUAUUUUAUAAGAACAGUCCAAAGGAUUAUCACGUUUGACAUAUUUUCCCCUACAAAUGUCUCUGUCUUGCUGAGAGGCUCAGAAGUUCAUCAUCACCGACCAAGAAACCAACAAAGCUCAGACUCCGAAAUCCACUGGCUUUGUUUCGGUGUUUUUAAACCUCUGUGCUAUUGUAGUUUUGUGUUCAUUUAGCUUUUCACUAGUAAGCUCACAGAUGAAGGGAAAUCUUGCGACCUUCUCACUGCCUGAAACCUCCCUGCAGUCAGGGUGGCCACAGAGGACCGAGGUGAAGACAAGCACUUUGGUCCCGUGUCACCCCGUAAAGGACAGUCACCUUCACUAAAGCUCAGUGUCCUCAUGGGAAAACGUCUGUCUUGCAAAGGUUGCUGGGUUGAUUAAUUGAGGUAACACAUGUUAAGUUGAUUUAUCUUUACCAGCAAUUAAUUAAACGGUGGGCCCUGUUAUUUCCAAAUGGCACAAAACAAAAGGCAGACUUUCAAGCCACGGGUCGGAACAGUGCUUGAUGAUUUUUCCAUUAGAAUUAUUUAUUCAUUAAUUUAUAGUCAGUGUUUUUCUAAAAUAUAACUGAUUCCCUAUCGUACUAUUUGAAACCUCUCUUAAUGAAAUAGAGAGAUUUGUGUACUGUUUUGGCACCGAGGUUGAAUUAUUUCACAUUUAUGUUUGUUUGUUUCCUACUCCCUUUCUCCCCGGUGCUGUGAGGACACAGCACUAGCUCUUGUCUUUUGAUAUUUGUGGUCUAUGUCUCUUCUUAGCUAAAUUCACAUUAUCUAAUUAAAACCCAACUGUUUUUUGAAAA